GGGCUUGUGGUCUAGGGGUAUGAUUUUCGCUUCGCAUGUGAACGGUCAGGGGUUCAAUUCCCCUCAAGUCCA
This is a non-coding RNA of Trichoderma gamsii, 72 nucleotides long. Lineage: Eukaryota; Fungi; Ascomycota; Sordariomycetes; Hypocreales; Hypocreaceae. The record is from Rfam.